This 319-nucleotide long non-coding RNA is filed under the name Androctonus crassicauda. The record is from RNAcentral. Lineage: Eukaryota; Metazoa; Arthropoda; Arachnida; Scorpiones; Buthidae.
GGUGCCUGAGUGGAGGAUUGAAGGAGCAUGGAGUGGAUGUGCAGGCGGGGAGGUUGACCACAGCACUGGCCGUUGGGGCGUAUGAAUGGGAUGUUGUUGUUGGGUGGGAUGGGGUAUGUCUGGUGGGAGCGUUACAGGAUGGUGGGGGUCUUGCUGCCAUGGAGGCUGUAGAAUUGGAAAAAAAGAAGACACUGCCAAGUUACAGUUAAUGAUGGCAGCCCGGUGGUGCUGCCGUCUUCAUGGGGAUGAUGUGCAGGUGGCACGGUGUAAUCAUGUGCGACAUUGCAUGUGGAGAGUUGCAUCAGGAGUUUGGUAUUGU